RNAcentral lists this ribosomal RNA (916 nucleotides) under uncultured bacterium. RNAcentral's name for it is "bacterial SSU rRNA". It matches the Rfam family "Bacterial small subunit ribosomal RNA", at positions 10 to 916 of the family's 1533-position model. The record is from RNAcentral.
AGUUUGAUCCUGGCUCAGGAUGAACGCUAGCUACAGGCUUAACACAUGCAAGUCGAGGGGAAACGAUAGAGAAAGCUUGCUUUUUCUAGGCGUCGACCGGCGCACGGGUGAGUAACGCGUAUCCAACCUGCCCACCACUUGGGGAUAACCUUGCGAAAGUAAGACUAAUACCCAAUGAUAUCUCUAGAAGACAUCUGAAGGAGAUUAAAGAUUUAUCGGUGAUGGAUGGGGAUGCGUCUGAUUAGCUUGUUGGCGGGGUAACGGCCCACCAAGGCGACGAUCAGUAGGGGUUCUGAGAGGAAGGUCCCCCACAUUGGAACUGAGACACGGUCCAAACUCCUACGGGAGGCAGCAGUGAGGAAUAUUGGUCAAUGGGCGAGAGCCUGAACCAGCCAAGUAGCGUGCAGGAUGACGGCCCUAUGGGUUGUAAACUGCUUUUAUAAGGGAAUAAAGUGAGUCUCGUGAGACUUUUUGCAUGUACCUUAUGAAUAAGGACCGGCUAAUUCCGUGCCAGCAGCCGCGGUAAUACGGAAGGUCCGGGCGUUAUCCGGAUUUAUUGGGUUUAAAGGGAGCGCAGGCGGACCUUUAAGUCAGCUGUGAAAUACGGCGGCUCAACCGUCGAACUGCAGUUGAUACUGGAGGUCUUGAGUGCACACAGGGAUACUGGAAUUCAUGGUGUAGCGGUGAAAUGCUCAGAUAUCAUGAAGAACUCCGAUCGCGAAGGCAGGUAUCCGGGGUGCAACUGACGCUGAAGCUCGAAAGUGCGGGUAUCGAACAGGAUUAGAUACCCUGGUAGUCCGCACGGUAAACGAUGGAUGCCCGCUGUUGGUCUGAAUAGGUCAGCGGCCAAGCGAAAGCAUUAAGCAUCCCACCUGGGGAGUACGCCGGCAACGGUGAAACUCAAAGGAAUUGACGG